ACUCCUGCGGGAGGCAGCAGUGGGGAAUAUUGCACAAUGGGCGCAAGCCUGAUGCAGCGACGCCGCGUGGGGGAUGAAGGCCUUCGGGUUGUAAACUCCUUUCGCUAGGGACGAAGCUUUUUUGUGACGGUACCUAGAUAAGAAGCACCGGCUAACUACGUGCCAGCAGCCGCGGUAAUACGUAGGGUGCGAGCGUUGUCCGGAAUUACUGGGCGUAAAGGGCUCGUAGGUGGUUUGUCGCGUCGUCUGUGAAAUUCUGGGGCUUAACUCCGGGCGUGCAGGCGAUACGGGCAUAACUUGAGUGCUGUAGGGGUAACUGGAAUUCCUGGUGUAGCGGUGAAAUGCGCAGAUAUCAGGAGGAACACCGAUGGCGAAGGCAGGUUACUGGGCAGUUACUGACGCUGAGGAGCGAAAGCAUGGGUAGCGAACAGGAUUAGAUACCCGGGUAGUCCC
This 453-nucleotide ribosomal RNA is filed under the name uncultured organism. RNAcentral describes it as "partial 16S ribosomal RNA". It matches the Rfam family "Bacterial small subunit ribosomal RNA", at positions 335 to 797 of the family's 1533-position model. The record is from RNAcentral.